AUCAUAGAAACUUUAAUUUGAUUUCUUCUAAUUCUAGUAAGAAUCAAAACAAUUAUUUUCGGUUUAAUUUUCUUAUUAAAAACUUGAUUUUGAUUCUAUUUCUUUUCCUUUUUUAUUAACCUAGAUUUUUCAAUAUAAAUACAAUACAAAACAUUCACAAAGAGGAGGCCAUUGAUACUACCAAAAAAAUCUCACGUAACAGUCAUAGAAAUCGGAAACAAUCCCAAAGGAUCUGCCACCGUGCCAACGCCGAAAGUGUCUCCACCAUAUCGGAUCCGUGCCGCAAAAAGAAAACUCCAACGAAUUCAUAAACUCCGGCCUCCGACUGCACCUUGCUGCACUUGUCCGCCUCCGACGAGAUCAGCCUUGGACGAAGCCUACUCCGGUCGCGGUGCUAGACCCACUCGCGAUCUCUGCUGCAAUCACUAGUCCUGAUUUAGAAUCAUGUUUUUAGACAUAUUAACAAAGUUCCCGGUGACAAAACAUACGAGUGAUUUGACACGGUGAGUGUGUAGCUAAGAAGGAUGAAAGAUAUGGUUCCCAUAUUAUUACGUUAUGUUCAAAGCCGUCAGAAACCUGUGGGAUACGCAUGAUGCCCAUUUUCGUGUGAUUUUGUUUACAUGGUUUGCUGCUAUUAAUAUUGACAUAUUCUUUUUGUCCAAUAUUUGUCUGGCCUAAAUAAUAGGAUAAACCCCAUUAAUGUAUCUAAACAAACUUGCACAUGGUGUUGUUGCCCGAGUUUCCGCCAUGUUGGAAUUGAUGGAGCCAUGCUAGAGUGUAAGAGACAAGUAACUGAUUUUUCAUUGUUAUAAUUAUUGAUUUUGAAUUAUUAUUAAUAAUUUUGGUAAA
Vicia villosa (hairy vetch) is the source of this 849-nucleotide long non-coding RNA. RefSeq lists it as uncharacterized. The transcript is spliced from 3 exons. Lineage: Eukaryota; Viridiplantae; Streptophyta; Magnoliopsida; Fabales; Fabaceae. The record is from RefSeq and is a predicted model, not a curated record.